AGGACGAACGCUGGCGGCGUGCUUAACACAUGCAAGUCGAGCGGAAAGGCCCUUCGGGGUACUCGAGCGGCGAACGGGUGAGUAACACGUGAGCAAUCUGCCCUUAGCUUCGGGAUAGCCCCGGGAAACCGGGAUUAAUACCGAAUAUGACCUCGGCCGACAUCGGCCUUAGUGGAAAGUUUUUCGGCUAGGGAUGAACUCGCGGCCUAUCAGCUUGUUGGUGGGGUAAUGGCCUACCAAGGCGACGACGGGUAGCCGGCCUGAGAGGGCGACCGGCCACACUGGGACUGAGACACGGCCCAGACUCCUACGGGAGGCAGCAGUGGGGAAUAUUGCGCAAUGGGCGAAAGCCUGACGCAGCGACGCCGCGUGGGGGAUGAAGGCCUUCGGGUUGUAAACCCCUUUCAGCAGGGACGAAGCGAGAGUGACGGUACCUGCAGAAGAAGCGCCGGCUAACUACGCGCCAGCAGCCGC
RNAcentral lists this ribosomal RNA (474 nucleotides) under uncultured bacterium. Its description in RNAcentral is "SSU rRNA". It matches the Rfam family "Bacterial small subunit ribosomal RNA", at positions 26 to 518 of the family's 1533-position model. The record is from RNAcentral.